UCCGUGGCUACGAGGACGACGCUGGCGGCGUGCUUAACACAUGCAAGUCGAACGGAAAGGCCCUGCUUUUGUGGGGUGCUCGAGUGGCGAACGGGUGAGUAACACGUGAGUAACCUGCCCUUGACUUUGGGAUAACUUCAGGAAACUGGGGCUAAUACCGGAUAGGAGCUCCUGCUGCAUGGUGGGGGUUGGAAAGUUUCGGCGGUUGGGGAUGGACUCGCGGCUUUUCAGCUUGUUGGUGGGGUAGUGGCUUACCAAGGCUUUGACGGGUAGCCGGCCUGAGAGGGUGACCGGCCACAUUGGGACUGAGAUACGGCCCAGACUCCUACGGGAGGCAGCAGUGGGGAAUAUUGCACAAUGGGCGGAAGCCUGAUGCAGCAACGCCGCGUGCGGGAUGACGGCCUUCGGGUUGUAAACCGCUUUCGCCUGUGACGAAGCGUGAGUGACGGUAAUGGGUAAAGAAGCACCGGCUAACUACGUG
This 481-nucleotide ribosomal RNA is filed under the name uncultured bacterium. Its description in RNAcentral is "bacterial SSU rRNA". It matches the Rfam family "Bacterial small subunit ribosomal RNA", at positions 33 to 507 of the family's 1533-position model. The record is from RNAcentral.